Molecule: long non-coding RNA, 355 nt
Filed under: Elaeis guineensis (African oil palm)
Lineage: Eukaryota; Viridiplantae; Streptophyta; Magnoliopsida; Arecales; Arecaceae
Description: long non-coding RNA (EGUI_LNC021774)
Source: RNAcentral
AGAAUCUCUUAGAAGUUAGUCGAUCUAUUCAUUCAGUGCUCCGUGAAAGGUAAGUAAUGAACUAUUUUCUCGAGAUAUUUCAUAUUUAUUCUGAAAAUAAAUAAUUAUUCUCUGAAAUUAUGUUUUGAAAGAAAAGUACUUUUGAAAUAUUAUGGUACGUCGAUUAUGCACAUGUUCAGUGAAAAAUUAUGAUAUAUUAUGAUACAAAGUGUUUUGAUACAGAUCGGAUUUAUGCUCUCAGCCUAACUAUGUUUCAAUGGGCUCCGCCAAUGGGGAUUAUACGUUGGUACUCAGUGGACCCUGCCAGUGGGGAUUGUGCGCUGGUGUUUGUGGACCCUACCAGUGGGGGUUGUGC